RNAcentral lists this ribosomal RNA (252 nucleotides) under uncultured bacterium. RNAcentral describes it as "partial 16S ribosomal RNA". It matches the Rfam family "Bacterial small subunit ribosomal RNA", at positions 524 to 776 of the family's 1533-position model. The record is from RNAcentral.
UACGAAGGGGGCUAGCGUUGUUCGGAUUUACUGGGCGUAAAGCGCACGUAGGCGGAUCGUUAAGUCGGGGGUGAAAUCCUGGAGCUCAACUCCAGAACUGCCUUCGAUACUGGCGAUCUUGAGUCCGGAAGAGGUGAGUGGAACUCCUAGUGUAGAGGUGGAAUUCGUAGAUAUUAGGAAGAACACAGUGGCGAAGGCGGCUCACUGGUCCGGUACUGACGCUGAGGUGCGAAAGCGUGGGGAGCAAACAGG